RNAcentral lists this ribosomal RNA (468 nucleotides) under uncultured bacterium. RNAcentral's name for it is "partial 16S ribosomal RNA". It matches the Rfam family "Bacterial small subunit ribosomal RNA", at positions 28 to 507 of the family's 1533-position model. The record is from RNAcentral.
GACGAACGCUGGCGGCGUGCUUAACACAUGCAAGUCGAACGGAAAGGCCCUGCUUUUGUGGGGUGCUCGAGUGGCGAACGGGUGAGUAACACGUGAGUAACCUGCCCUUGACUUUGGGAUAACUUCAGGAAACUGGGGCUAAUACCGGAUAGGAGCUCCUGCUGCAUGGUGGGGGUUGGAAAGUUUCGGCGGUUGGGGAUGGACUCGCGGCUUAUCAGCUUGUUGGUGGGGUAGUGGCUUACCAAGGCUUUGACGGGUAGCCGGCCUGCGAGGGUGACCGGCGACAUGGGGACUGAGAUACGGCCCAGACUCCUACGGGAGGCAGCAGUGGGGAAUAUUGCACAAUGGGCGGAAGCCUGAUGCAGCAACGCCGCAUGCGGGAUGACGGCCUUCGGGUUGUAAACCGCUUUCGCCUGUGACGAAGCGUGAGUGACGGUAAUGGGUAAAGAAGCACCGGCUAACUACGUG